This 451-nucleotide ribosomal RNA is filed under the name uncultured Rhizobium sp. RNAcentral's name for it is "bacterial SSU rRNA". It matches the Rfam family "Bacterial small subunit ribosomal RNA", at positions 8 to 507 of the family's 1533-position model. Lineage: Bacteria; Pseudomonadati; Pseudomonadota; Alphaproteobacteria; Hyphomicrobiales; Rhizobiaceae. The record is from RNAcentral.
AGAGUUUGAUCCUGGCUCAGAACGAACGCUGGCGGCAGGCUUAACACAUGCAAGUCGAACGCCCCGCAAGGGGAGUGGCAGACGGGUGAGUAACGCGUGGGAAUCUACCGUGCCCUGCGGAAUAGCUCCGGGAAACUGGAAUUAAUACCGCAUACGCCCUACGGGGGAAAGAUUUAUCGGGGUAUGAUGAGCCCGCGUUGGAUUAGCUAGUUGGUGGGGUAAAGGCCUACCAAGGCGACGAUCCAUAGCUGGUCUGAGAGGAUGAUCAGCCACAUUGGGACUGAGACACGGCCCAAACUCCUACGGGAGGCAGCAGUGGGGAAUAUUGGACAAUGGGCGCAAGCCUGAUCCAGCCAUGCCGCGUGAGUGAUGAAGGCCUUAGGGUUGUAAAGCUCUUUCACCGGAGAAGAUAAUGACGGUAUCCGGAGAAGAAGCCCCGGCUAACUUCGUG